UGAACAACCACUCCAAACGCCAGACUGCCUUUGACUGGAGUACUGCAGAAGCAAUGGUGAUGAACCAACCAGAGCCGGCCAAAGAGAAGGAGAAACAGGGCUUCUUCAGAUCGAUGAAGAAGAAGAAGAAGAAACCGACCAAUCCCGUUCCUGGUGAUGGCCAGGACAACCUGUUUAUCCAGAAGGGGACCAAGUCCUCG
Oncorhynchus gorbuscha (pink salmon) is the source of this 200-nucleotide long non-coding RNA. RefSeq lists it as uncharacterized. NCBI's taxonomy places the organism in Eukaryota, Metazoa, Chordata, Actinopteri, Salmoniformes, Salmonidae. The record is from RefSeq and is a predicted model, not a curated record. The transcript has 3 exons.